AAGAGGUACCGUCAAUUCAGAGGGGUAUUGUUCCCUCUGCGUUUCGUCCCUCUCCACAGUGCUUUACGAUCCGAAGACCUUCAUCACACACGCGGCGUGGCUGGAUCAGGCUUUCGCCCAUUGUCCAAUAUUC
RNAcentral lists this ribosomal RNA (133 nucleotides) under uncultured bacterium. RNAcentral's name for it is "partial 16S ribosomal RNA". The record is from RNAcentral.